Long non-coding RNA from Telopea speciosissima, 169 nucleotides. RefSeq lists it as uncharacterized. Lineage: Eukaryota; Viridiplantae; Streptophyta; Magnoliopsida; Proteales; Proteaceae. The record is from RefSeq and is a predicted model, not a curated record. The transcript has 2 exons.
UACUAGGUGAGACAGGUUUCUGUACCUAAUGCUAUGAUAUGAAUCCUCAUAGAAUUCAUCAGUUUAAGUAAAAUGCAAUGUUGAGAUCACCUAGCAAGAUAAGUUUUUGGCUUAGCUGACUACAGCUUUUGCAUAGAAAAAGCAAAGCCACUUAGUAGAGAAGGAAAAA